Molecule: long non-coding RNA, 452 nt
Organism: Alosa alosa (allis shad)
Lineage: Eukaryota; Metazoa; Chordata; Actinopteri; Clupeiformes; Clupeidae
Exons: 3
Source: RefSeq, a predicted model, not a curated record
UGCAGCCUCUCUGAAUGAUGACAUCAUCUAUUUUGAGGCUUCACCUCAAGUCCUUCCAAGCAGGAGGAGAAAAAGAGACAAAAUUUGAGAUUGCAAAAUACAUUCAACUUGUAACUUCCAGCGUGUACCAGUCAUACAGUACAAUGUCGGGAUCAUAAACAGCCACAGCAACGAAGAGGAAUGACCAAAGAAUGUACUGGUAUCUUUUGGCAGAGAACCCAUGAGUGUGGAAGGGGGUGAAUCUUUUGGAGGUGUUGUGGGCCUAUUUCAAUGAAACACAGAUGAAGGAAGUAGAUGUUUUCAGACUUUCCAGCAACCUUCCCAUCCUAACUGUUGCUGGGUUAAAUGAAUCAUCAGAGAAAGAACAGGAAGAGAAUGGAAGAGACACAUAAACUGUAAUCUCUAGGAAGCUGCAGUAAGAAACGUUUGGAACUUCAAGCCAACGAGAUCAC